GCGUGAAGAGGUGGAAAACUCAAAAGCCAGAUUGACUUGCUGACUAAUGAGAAGGACAGUCUACAGGUAAAAUUCAACGAGCAAGUAGUUAUGAAUAACAAACUUAUGGAAAAUAUCUCUGAGCUCAAACAAGAAAUGCUUCACAUGAAAAAGAUUCCAGAACGGUUAUACGAGUCGGUUGCUAAUUGCAAGGAUGUCUGCAAGGAUGUUAUAGUCAGAAUGAAGAGCUUAGUGGCUGAGAAGGAAUCUCCAAGAGCAAAGCUUUUCUUUGGUGCAACUGAAAUCACAACGAGCCUUCUUUCAACUCUAGAAUC
Molecule: long non-coding RNA, 314 nt
Organism: Brassica oleracea var. oleracea
Lineage: Eukaryota; Viridiplantae; Streptophyta; Magnoliopsida; Brassicales; Brassicaceae
Exons: 3
Source: RefSeq, a predicted model, not a curated record